Long non-coding RNA from Neolamprologus brichardi, 1085 nucleotides. RefSeq lists it as uncharacterized. The record is from RefSeq and is a predicted model, not a curated record. NCBI's taxonomy places the organism in Eukaryota, Metazoa, Chordata, Actinopteri, Cichliformes, Cichlidae.
GAGUGAGAGGGGGAGUCAGACCGUGCGGGUACAGCAGCGGGUUGGACGAAGAGGGUUCCUCACCUCGCACGAAGAAACACCGUAUGAACUAACAGACGGACAAAAUAACCAAACAACUUAACUGGUUUCUUUGCUGAUCUGUGCCGUGUCGUGCCCGCUGGAGAAACAGAGCCUGCACAGCUUCGAGAAACGAGAGAUCGGUGGAUAUUCUGGCAGCUCUUCCUCACAGAAACCAUGGUGGCGGCCAUCCUGAAAAUGUAUUUCUUUGGAACAGCACUUUCCGUCCUUGCAGUCCUUUAUGAAAUAGCGGACUCCGUUGGUGGUCUCAUGCACGUGCAGGACCAUCACUACUUACAGGAGCUGAACCAACAGACAGAGAGGGACAUUUCUUCAAACAACUGGGGAGGGCGGCCUGUGACUAAAAACAUUGGCUCAUGAGAAGAUCGUCAUGUUGUACAUUUUGGACAUGUUCUGCAGCUGUCUGGAAGGACAUGGAAUGUUCACUUAUGUGGAUUUAUGGUCCAAAUGGUUCUUUCUGUUUGGGCACUUUUUUGUAGCCCAUUGUCUGCUGUCAUGUCUUGUAGGAGCUAUUGUGUAAAACCACUACUGAACACAGAACACAUUCCUUGUGUUAAAAGUACACAUUUUGUAUAUAUUUUUCUAAGCAAAGUGAAUGAAAACAUUGGGGGAUUUUUGAUGAAUGUUUUUGAUGUGUGUAAGUUUAUUGCAGCAUGUAGAAGUCAGAGUACAAGGUGUGCGUUUCGGUUUGGUAGUGAUCCAGCAACUGAACUUGGAGUCCAAAAGAGAAAUGCAGGCUGCCAUAAAACUAACAGGUCUUAACAAAACAUGACUUCUCUAGAAAAGAAAAAAGAAAAAAAAAACAAACAAAAAACUUUCAGACUUCCAGCAAAAAUUGCACAACAAGCUCUCCACUGUGUAAAGAUCUGUCUGCCUUUUUGUAGUGAGUAAGGUUUUGUGAAUCAAAUAUGUGUUGCACAACAAAGCUGGGAAAUGAUCUGUAAAAGCUGAAAAGCAUGACUCUGUGCAGGAUUUCAACAUGAAUAAAGGUAAAAUGUUAUAAAUAA